RNAcentral lists this ribosomal RNA (253 nucleotides) under uncultured bacterium. Its description in RNAcentral is "partial 16S ribosomal RNA". It matches the Rfam family "Bacterial small subunit ribosomal RNA", at positions 524 to 776 of the family's 1533-position model. The record is from RNAcentral.
UACGUAGGGGGCGAGCGUUGUCCGGAAUCAUUGGGCGUAAAGCGCGUGUAGGCGGCUCGAUAAGUCUGCUGUGAAAGUCCAGGGCUCAACCCUGGAAAGCCGGUGGAAACUGUCGGGCUAGAGUCCGGAAGAGGCGAGUGGAAUUCCUGGUGUAGCGGUGAAAUGCGCAGAUAUCAGGAGGAACACCAAUGGCGAAGGCAGCUCGCUGGGACGGUACUGACGCUGAGACGCGAAAGCGUGGGGAGCGAACAGG